RNAcentral lists this ribosomal RNA (492 nucleotides) under uncultured bacterium. RNAcentral describes it as "partial 16S ribosomal RNA". It matches the Rfam family "Bacterial small subunit ribosomal RNA", at positions 29 to 507 of the family's 1533-position model. The record is from RNAcentral.
AGUGAACGCUGGCGGUAGGCCUAACACAUGCAAGUCGAACGGCAGCACAGUAAGAGCUUGCUCUUACGGGUGGCGAGUGGCGGACGGGUGAGGAAUACAUCGGAAUCUACUUUUUCGUGGGGGAUAACGUAGGGAAACUUACGCUAAUACCGCAUACGACCUACGGGUGAAAGCAGGGGAUCUUCGCACCUUGCGCGAUUGAAUGAGCCGAUGUCGGAUUAGCUAGUUGGCGGGGUAAAGGCCCACCAAGGCGACGAUCCGUAGCUGGUCUGAGAGGAGGAUCGGCCGCACUGGAACUGAGACGCGGACCAGACUCCUACGGGAGGCAGCAGUGGGGAAUAUUAGACAAUGGGCGCAAGCCUGAUCCAGCCAUACCGCGUGGGUGAAGAAGGCCUUCGGGUUGUAAAGCCCUUUUGUUGGGAAAGAAAAGCAGCAGGUUAAUACCCCGCUGUUCUGACGGUACCCAAAGAAUAAGCACCGGCUAACUUCGUG